GUACGUUUUCACCCUCGGGUGACAGGGAGACAGGUGGUGCAUGGUUGUCGUCAGCUCGUGUCGUGAGAUGUUGGGUUAAGUCCCGCAACGAGCGCAACCCCUACGUUUAGUUGCUAACAGGUGAAGCUGAGCACUCUAGACGAACUGCCGUUGACAAAACGGAGGAAGGUGGGGAUGACGUCAAAUCAUCAUGCCCCUUAUGUUCUGGGCUACACACGUGCUACAAUGGCCGGUACAGACGGAGGCGAAGCCGCGAGGCGGAGCAAAUCCGAAAAAGCCGGUCUCAGUUCGGAUUGCAGGCUGCAAUUCGCCUGCAUGAAGUCGGAAUCGCUAGUAAUCGCAGGUCAGCAUACUGCGUUGAAUACGUUCUCGGGCCUU
Molecule: ribosomal RNA, 378 nt
Filed under: uncultured Pelotomaculum sp.
Lineage: Bacteria; Bacillati; Bacillota; Clostridia; Eubacteriales; Desulfotomaculaceae
Description: bacterial SSU rRNA
Rfam family: Bacterial small subunit ribosomal RNA
Source: RNAcentral